GGAGAAUGCAAAAUGGAAGCGCGAGAUGGAAAUCGUCUCCUGCUGGGAAAGGGCAAGGCCACCCCAGACCUUGGGAGGAGGAGGACUCCACUUCCAGCCCAUCUACAGAGAGGGGUCAAAACAGCUUCUUGGUCUUGUCCCCCAUUGGAAAACUUCUAUACUGACACUGAGCCCCUCCGAAAUUGCCCAUGAGGGAGAACUUCAUGUAAUCUGACUGAGACAGGCUGCAGAGAUUGAUGGGAUGUGCUGAGCAGCAUCCUGGGAUCACUGACUUGGCCCCAAAUUCCACCGGGAAGCAGAGGACAAGCAACGGAUUGGCUUAAGGCUCUUGGGCCUGCCCUACGUCUUCUGCUGGCCAUGGGGGUCUCCACCAGCCUCCAAGCUGGAGGAGAAAGGAGAGCUCUGUCGGAACAGAGGAAGGAGGGUCGCAAAGAAGGCGGCACACCCGGCUCCCAGACAGAUUCUGGUGUCUCUCCACCCAGGAUCUCCUUCACUGCUGUCCAAACCUCAGCCCGGAAGUCCUGAUGGCGAUUAAACCUCCAUGUUUCUUGCUGCAGUUUCAGCUGGUGUUUUUAGGGGCAGUGGGAGUCGGCUGGUUUUUCCUUGCUUUUUGCAGACCUGAACCCCAAGUCUGAUCAUGUUUCUGCUAGACCCUUUGAGGGCCAGGAUCCUCUUCUUCCUGGAAGAACGUUAUUCUAGAGGGGCUCUCGUUAACUGAUUUUUAGUAGAGUUGUCUUCUGCUGGGUAACACUGCCUGGGAUCUGCAGCCACCCUAGGAGGUCCUCACAUCCACCUGCCUGCCUCCAGGAGCCACAUCCAAGCGGUCUCCCGGAGACGGGGCUCUCCCUCAUUCCUGAGAGCCUCUAGUAAGGGUGGGGGGGGGGGGUGCCCCGGCUUCCAUAGUAACCGAGAUUUCAUCUCCUCAAAGGCAGGGCAUCAUGGCUUAUUCACUAGUUUUCCU
Molecule: long non-coding RNA, 961 nt
Filed under: Equus caballus (horse)
Lineage: Eukaryota; Metazoa; Chordata; Mammalia; Perissodactyla; Equidae
Description: lncRNA (ENSECAG00000048421.1)
Source: RNAcentral